This 2691-nucleotide long non-coding RNA is filed under the name Amphibalanus amphitrite. RNAcentral describes it as "uncharacterized LOC122394352, transcript variant X3". Lineage: Eukaryota; Metazoa; Arthropoda; Thecostraca; Balanomorpha; Balanidae. The record is from RNAcentral.
UUUGACCACUUUCUUCAGCUGGCCAUUAAGACCCAAAAACGAAAAAUAGGCGACAUAUUUGGGCCAUAUUAAUUAUGCAUCUAUUAAUUUGAAGUGCAUUAGCAGAGGGGAGCCGACAAGAAAAUCUGUAUGCUAAUAAAGGAAAUAAAAUCAAGCCAUUCGCACCAUUUUUCCAAAGCAAUUAUUUCAAGUUAUAGCCGUUUGUUACACAAAUCUCUUCUUUUCUGUUUUCAAAUAUUAAAAUUAAUAGUAAAUCCACAAAAAUAUCUACAAAUAGUGCUUUCUAGAAUUUCGAGCAUAUCCAUGGAUCGUGACCCGUUUUGAGUCGAGAAGAGGCAAUGUUCCAGGACAAAUAUUGGGUAAAUUAUCAUGUAUUGGUCAAUAAAUGUGGUAUAUUCAGGCUCAGAAAAGAUUUUCCUAUAACAUGAGCUACAAUUCAUCACAGUAUAUGCCCUGAAUUCUAAUAUAUUCAAAGAAGUGUAAAUUAGAGUUGCAGUUCUACACGGCUCCCGCAGCACACUUCACACACGAUAUCUCAAAAACGAAAGAGAGUCGCGGUCUAUUUAAAACGUCAAAAACGCAGAACUCAUUUUCAUAUAAGCAUGUGAUUUCUUUAAAAGAGAAUCGUACGGUAAGACAUUGAAUUUUGCUCCCAAAUAUGAAACUUUGCAUUUGUCUGUCACUUAAUUUUGAACAAAACGGACAUUUUGUAUAGAUCUUCCGCUAGUUGCUACCAAAAUUAUACCCUAUCCGACGGAGAAACUAUUUUUCUUUUUUAUCUGUGCAUGAUUAUGGGCAUAAAUAAUCGACAGACCAGAAAUUUUGCGUCUAAGGUAAGUCACCAUUGCAUUUGCAGAAAGUGACGCUUUCACCUUCCCUGGAUGAUUUCUCAAAAACAAGAGGGAGUCGCGAUCUAUUUAAAGCUGAAAAAUGUACAGAAUUGAUUAUUCUAUCGAUGGUGAGAAUAACAAAGACCAAAGCAUACGGUAAGACACCUCAUUUUGACCUCAAAGCCAUAAAAAUGUUUUUUAAUGUGAGGUACGUCGAAUUGCAAUGGCGUAAUUUUAUGUUCGACGUUCCUGCUAAUGAUGCAUCCGCUUUAAUACUUCUGCGUUUGUAGGCGUGAUUCGAUGUUUGAUUGGUCCAGAGCAGCUCAGAUUCGGAGCAACAACAGCUUGACAAACAUUUUUCGUCUUUGUUGUGUAUUGUCACGCAUUGUAGUGUCAUGGAUGGAGGUUCUUUCAUGGUAUUGUAAUAGGUACAUACACUUGGUUUAAAUUUAAUUUGAUUUGAUAAAUUUGAGCCAAUUCUUAGUGUUAUGGGAGUUGUCUUGCAAGUUCCCACAAGCCCAAAUAUAUUUUUUUUUUUCAGUGAAAAGUAACACUAUGAAAAAGUUGAUGCUGGAUGGUUUAAGAAAAUGCCUUAUGGUCAAAGUCGUGUGUUCCUUACAUCAAGCACUCAAAGCAUCACUGUGAAGAGACAUCAGACAAGGGUCAAGGUGAGGUGUUUGUGUGGAAACCCCAUUACAUCAUCAAGAGGGAGACCGCACUGACAGGGGUCCAAGAUCCAUCUCAGGCCCUACUGUAGACUGCCCGCCAGCAGACGGAGGCCCACCGACGGACGUCGGCUCAAUGGCCAACAGUGGCCCGCCGGCCGGCUGACGGUGGCUCGCCGACCGACGCCGGCCCGUCGGCCGACCACGGCCCACCAGUUGAUGGUGGCCCGCCAGCUGACGGAGGUCCGCCGGCCAUUCGUAGCACGCCCGCCGACGGCAGCUCGACGCACAUCCUGGCCUUAACUAUUAUAGCUAUGUCACCCCCAAGAUUAGUUCGCCCCCCCCCCCCCAAGUCCCUAGGUCACCAGUCGCGGGCGCUCCAUCUGACGGUGUCGUCCGACGGCUCCACGAGAGCGCCGCGGAAACCAUCCGACCCCGAAAAUGCUGCUAGCCGUACACGAACAAAAGGCGCCAAGCACCUAGGACCAGCGCCCUGCUCCGAGGCGGUGUCCAAAGAAGGUCGCACAGUGCACUUGCUGUGCGAAGGUGUAGUGCGCGCUGACUGAUAGGAAAAACUGACGGUUGGUUAUUAGAUCUCAGUAUGGAACUCAAGAUGGUCGGAGCCGACCUGGCUCGGUGGAUGGUGUGCCAGGGUUAAUUAAGUGUCAAAAUGAGUGAGACGCUCAGAUAUCUGAAGGAUAUGUCGAUACGAGUCCCGGCUUCGACUCCCCGUCCCAAAACGGUGUUGGCUAUGAUUGGAUUUUGGUAUUUUUACGGACUCCCCCUCCCCCCCCCCCCCCCACCCCCACACGCAAUUUGUGCUAUGUAAUAGGACGAUAAUAUGCCGUGGUCUCAUUCUGGCUCGAUAUCGUAAUAGGCACUUAAUUGGACAGAUGUUGGUGGAUGUAAAUGGCAGGUUUAGCUAGCGCGAUAUUAGUAAUCGUGGGUGCACUAGCUGCAAUCAGUCGCGCGCUUCUUGCAGAGCACCUGUGAGCAAUAAAAUUAUAUGAAAGGGCAGUUUGUCGUGAAACCUGUGUACUUUUGGAUUAAGUUAUCAGAACAUAAAUGUAUUUUUGAUGUCCACUGCAGCUCUGGAACAGAAACAUGGAGAUCGGCUGUUCGCUGUAGCAGGGGCCAAAAAAAUCCAAGGUGAUAUGUGAUUUUAAGUGAAUAUAGGUAUCUCACUGUAUUUUCAA